This 256-nucleotide unclassified non-coding RNA is filed under the name Hevea brasiliensis (rubber tree). Lineage: Eukaryota; Viridiplantae; Streptophyta; Magnoliopsida; Malpighiales; Euphorbiaceae. The record is from RNAcentral.
AAAACCCUCCCCAACAACUGUGCACUUUUCUCUCACACGCUCCAUAUCGCGCCAUCGGUCGGACAAGCCUUCCUUAAGCUGAUCUUGAUCUCGAUUUCCCAUUUUUCCUGGUAGGAUAUCGCCAUGGCCGCCUCUGAAGAGAAUAGUGUUUUGUUCCCAAUUUUCAUUUUGACAAUAAUGGCACUGCCUCUAGUGCCUUACACAAUAAUGAAAUUAUGCCACGCUGCCUCUAAGAAAAGUAAGAGCAUCAACUGCA